CAGUCGCCGCGGUAGUACGUAGGUCCCGAGCGUUGUCCGGAUUUAUUGGGCGUAAAGCGAGCGCAGGCGGUUAGAUAAGUCUGAAGUUAAAGGCUGUGGCUUAACCAUAGUACGCUUUGGAAACUGUUUAACUUGAGUGCAAGAGGGGAGAGUGGAAUUCCAUGUGUAGCGGUGAAAUACGUAGAUAUAUGGAGGAACACCGGUGGCGAAAGCGGCUCUCUGGCUUGUAACUGACGCUGAGGCUCGAAAGCGUGGGGAGCAAACAGGAUUAGAUACCCCUGUAGUCCCUGUCUCUUAUACA
RNAcentral lists this ribosomal RNA (301 nucleotides) under uncultured bacterium. RNAcentral describes it as "partial 16S ribosomal RNA". It matches the Rfam family "Bacterial small subunit ribosomal RNA", at positions 509 to 808 of the family's 1533-position model. The record is from RNAcentral.